Molecule: long non-coding RNA, 1151 nt
Filed under: Varanus komodoensis (Komodo dragon)
Lineage: Eukaryota; Metazoa; Chordata; Lepidosauria; Squamata; Varanidae
Description: lncRNA (ENSVKKG00000000733.1)
Source: RNAcentral
ACGAGGAGUUCGGCGAGUUUUUCCAGCUGCUCUUCGGGAGCACACGGCGGAGUGAGUCGGGCGGCGGGGCGGGGGCUGCCCCUGCCUGGGGGGCUCGCUUCCCGCUGCCUUGAACCCGGAACCCGGCGGGGAUGUCCCCCGGAGCUGCAUGGCGGAAAGCUGGGAAGGCCUUUCUCACGUGGCCCAGAAAACGGACUCGCUGCCACGGGGUGGAACGGUCCCCAAUUAGGAGGGCCUGAAAAAGGGCUGGAGAAAGCUCCUAGUCCUCAUGGGUCCGGGCGAUCUCUAGGAUCAGAGGCAAUAUGUCUGUGCGCAGCAGUGGCCGGGCAACAUGGGCAGGAGGGUACUGCUGCGCAUGGGUCCCCCUUCCAGAUUUCUCGUGGCAGCUGGAGGCCUCCGUGGAAACAGGGCUGGACGGGGCGAGCGCUGGCCCGGCCCAGGACGGCUCUUCUGGGGAUUGGGGGCCCUUGGCGGGGGGGCCGGGGCAGAGAGACCCUCCAACACCCGCUCCGCUCCCCUCCCCUCCCCAGGUGGGGCCAGCCCCCCGCGCUACAUCAGCCGAGACUGGCGCGGCGUGCCAGCCAACCUGGACGCAGCCAUGCUGGGCCGGCUGUACGUGGCGCCGAACAAGCCCAAGACGCGGGCCGGGCGGAGGAUGUCGCGCCGGCGCCGCAGGAAGUACCGCCGCCACCAGCGCUGGGGCCGCUGGAACCCGCUGUGGGCCUGGGACGGAGAGAACAGCUCCGAGUCCUCCGACCUGGACUGGCUGCCCCACGGAGGCAGCCCCUGCCAGCCCUUCCAGAGCGUCUACUUCUUCGUGCAAGACAAGUACUACCGGCUCAACCUGCAAACGCAGCGUGUGGACUGGGUGUACCCCCGCUACCCGCGGCCCAUCGCCAAGUACUGGCUGGGCUGCCCCUCUCAGGAGGACCAGGCCUGAGCUCCGCCGCGGGCCGGCACCGUGGCGGCGGCCGAGGGGAAGUCUCGCCGCCAGAGCCGCGGCCGGCCACGGCCCUGUUCGAUUCGCCCUGAAAUUGCUUCUGCGGCUCCCGGCUGCAGAGGGCACCCGGCCAGGGGGCAGGCGGGAUCGACAUGCGAGAUGCAGCGCGAUGUUGAGAAUCAACGGAAAUAAAGGCAGAAACAGAAAAGGG